UACGGAGGAUCCAAGCGUUAUCCGGAAUCAUUGGGUUUAAAGGGUCCGUAGGCGGCCUUAUAAGUCAGUGGUGAAAGUUUUUGGCUUAACCAAAAAAUUGCCAUUGAUACUGUAGGGCUUGAAUGUCUGUGAAGUAACUAGAAUAUGUAGUGUAGCGGUGAAAUGCUUAGAUAUUACAUGGAAUACCGAUUGCGAAGGCAGGUUACUAACAGAUGAUUGACGCUGAUGGACGAAAGCGUGGGUAGCGAACAGGAUUAGAUACCCUGGUAGUCCACGCCGUAAACGAUGGAUACUAGCUGUUCGGUUUUCGGACUGAGUGGCUAAGCGAAAGUGAUAAGUAUCCCACCUGGGGAGUACGGUCGCAAGACUGAA
This 372-nucleotide ribosomal RNA is filed under the name uncultured bacterium. RNAcentral describes it as "bacterial SSU rRNA". It matches the Rfam family "Bacterial small subunit ribosomal RNA", at positions 524 to 898 of the family's 1533-position model. The record is from RNAcentral.